GGACGGGGCUGGGAUCCAGGA
This 21-nucleotide microRNA is filed under the name Gallus gallus (chicken). RNAcentral's name for it is "gga-miR-12277-5p". Lineage: Eukaryota; Metazoa; Chordata; Aves; Galliformes; Phasianidae. The record is from miRBase by way of RNAcentral.